AUUGAACGCUGGCGGCAGGCCUAACACAUGCAAGUCGAACGGUAACAGGAAGCUGCUUGCUUCUUUGCUGACGAGUGGCGGGCGGGUGAGCUAUGUCUGGGCAACUGCCUGAUGGAGGGGGACAACUACUGGAAACGGUUGCUACUACCGCAUAACGUCGCAAGACCAAAGAGGGGGACCUUCGGGCCUCUUGCCAUAGGCUGUGCCCAGGUGGGAUUAGCUAGUUGGUGGGGUAACGGCCCACCUAGGCGACGAUCUGUACCUGGUCUGAGAGGAUGAACAGCCACACUGGAACUGAGACACGGUCCAGACUCCUACGGGAGGCAGCAGUGGGGAAUAUUGCACAAUGGGCGCAAGCCUGAUGCAGCCAUGCCGCGUGUAUGAAGAAGGCCUUCGGAUUGUAAAGUACUUUAAGCGGGGAGGAAGGGAAUAAAGUUAAUACCUUGCCGCAUUGACGUUACCCGCAGAAGAAGCACCGGCUAACUCCGUG
Molecule: ribosomal RNA, 490 nt
Filed under: uncultured bacterium
Lineage: Bacteria
Description: partial 16S ribosomal RNA
Rfam family: Bacterial small subunit ribosomal RNA
Source: RNAcentral